AUUGAACGCUGGCGGCAUGCUUUACACAUGCAAGUCGAACGGUAACAGGUUAAGCUGACGAGUGGCGAACGGGUGAGUAAUGCAUCGGAACGUGCCCGAUCGUGGGGGAUAACGCAGCGAAAGCUGCGCUAAUACCGCAUACGAUCUGAGGAUGAAAGCGGGGGACCGUAAGGCCUCGCGCGAUCGGAGCGGCCGAUGUCAGAUUAGGUAGUUGGUGGGGUAAAGGCUCACCAAGCCAACGAUCUGUAGCUGGUCUGAGAGGACGACCAGCCAGACUGGGACUGAGACACGGCCCAGACUCCUACGGGAGGCAGCAGUGGGGAAUUUUGGGCAAUGGGCGCAAGCCUGAUCCAGCAAUGCCGCGUGCAGGAAGAAGGCCUUCGGGUUGUAAACUGCUUUUGUACGGAGCGAAAAGGCUCCCUCUAAUACAGGGGGCUCAUGACGGUACCGUAAGAAUAAGCACCGGCUAACUACGUGCCAGCAGCCGCCGUAA
RNAcentral lists this ribosomal RNA (493 nucleotides) under uncultured bacterium. RNAcentral's name for it is "partial 16S ribosomal RNA". It matches the Rfam family "Bacterial small subunit ribosomal RNA", at positions 29 to 523 of the family's 1533-position model. The record is from RNAcentral.